CACAGGCAGAGGGAGAAGCAGGCUCCAUGCAGGAAGCCCGAUGCGGGACCCGAUCCUGGAUCUCCAGGAUCACACCCCGGGCUGCAGGCGGCGUUAAACCGCUGCGCCACCGGGGCUGCCCAACAGUUAUUUUCCUAAAGCAAUAUCGAACCACUUGUGUCACACCUGUUCUCGGGCCACAGCGUACCAUUAGGACUUGGGGACAUGUUUGAGAAGCAGCAUGACAUAGUGAAAGGAGGUGGAAGACCUGGGUUCUAGUCCCAGUUCUGUCACUAACUUGCUGUGCGAACCAGGAUGGAACACCAGUUCUCUGGAGGUGCAGAACCAUUGCUGGGGUUGUCCUCAGAAGUCACUGAAAACCACUGUGGAAUCACCCUGGCCUUUGCAUUUUACAGGCAAGGUCAUCCUAGCCCCUUGUCCUGUUUUCAAGGGGUGCUAAUAUAUGCCAGGCCCCACCCCAUGGGGAUCUGUGGCUGCCCUUCUGAAGGAGGAAAGGCUGACUCGAACAUAUU
Molecule: long non-coding RNA, 512 nt
Organism: Canis lupus familiaris (dog)
Lineage: Eukaryota; Metazoa; Chordata; Mammalia; Carnivora; Canidae
Exons: 3
Source: RefSeq, a predicted model, not a curated record